RNAcentral lists this ribosomal RNA (253 nucleotides) under uncultured bacterium. RNAcentral's name for it is "partial 16S ribosomal RNA". It matches the Rfam family "Bacterial small subunit ribosomal RNA", at positions 524 to 776 of the family's 1533-position model. The record is from RNAcentral.
UACGUAGGGUGCGAGCGUUGUCCGGAAUUAUUGGGCGUAAAGAGCUUGUAGGCGGUUUGUCGCGUCUGCUGUGAAAUCCCAGGGCUUAACCCUGGGCUUGCAGUGGGUACGGGCAGACUAGAGUGUGGUAGGGGAGACUGGAAUUCCUGGUGUAGCGGUGAAAUGCGCAGAUAUCAGGAGGAACACCGAUGGCGAAGGCAGGUCUCUGGGCCACUACUGACGCUGAGAAGCGAAAGCAUGGGGAGCGAACAGG